This is a long non-coding RNA of Daphnia pulicaria, 2035 nucleotides long. RefSeq lists it as uncharacterized. The record is from RefSeq and is a predicted model, not a curated record. The transcript has 4 exons. NCBI's taxonomy places the organism in Eukaryota, Metazoa, Arthropoda, Branchiopoda, Diplostraca, Daphniidae.
GCUUUGACAAAAACGGGAAAAGGACGUGAGCGAGGAUCGCCGCCGAUGGAAGGCGACAGGAAUCCGCCCAGAAACUCUUCCAAGGACGACACACUGUCUUGAAAUGGGCGACUCCCAGUUGGAAAAGGCCUUUUUUUUUUCUUCCUUUCCAAAUCGAGUGUCUGUGUGAAAUUCCCCAAUUUUUACGAUAGAUAGUUUCACCCUGCGGGCCAUUCAUGGCGAUCGCUUUCGAGUGUAAUAUCCUGUUUUACGUCCAUCUGUUCUCGUUUGUGUUGUCAAACACGGGCCGUAUCUAUUUUCAUAACAGCACAUAUAUACCAUAAGCCAUUUGAAAGCCCAUCCGAGUAUAUAUACAUAUAGUGGUGUGCUCUAUACGCAUCUGUUUUUUGUUUUCAAUAAAAAUCCAAAAGUCUUAUGGCGGGAUCUAUCGGACUGUUGCGUGAUGGAGCGGCUAAAUCCCAUCAGCGCGUCCAUAAAUCACCGAUUCAAAUUGCUGCUGCUGCUGCGGUCAAGGCGCUAUAUAUUAUAUACUUUUAUUUCAGGAAUAAAAAAGAGAGGUAGCCCUGCGAAUCAAUCAAUCGUCAUAUCCGUCCGACACAUUGUUGUAUACAUUCAAUAAUGCGUAUUAUAUUCAGCAUUUCCCGCCGCCGGGCUCUUGAUAGUAGACAUGUGUCACACCUGCGAUUCAUCUUCCCUAUGUAUCUAUUUCCCUCUGUAUGGCCGCCGUUAUUUUCUUUUCAUGAUGAAAUCCACAAAUGAAUUCGACGCAGUCGUCCAGGAAAACUGUUGGAAACAAAAAAUAUAAUUCGACAAAAAAACAACUCGCCGCUGCUGUGUUGACGUCACGAACCAGGAUGUAUAAGUUGCCGCUGCGCUGCCACUGGAUUGGUGAUCCACGGCCAGAAUGGGCGGUUCCAUAUAUACCCUGGUCUCUUUUUUAUUUUAUUUUUUGUCUCGGAGAAGAAAAAAAAAAGUUCCGAUAUAGCUGCUAUAUGCGUGUAUGUGUGUGUGCGUGCGUGCUGUGGGUAUAUACAAAACGCGCAACUGAUGGUCUCGGCUUGUUCAGUUCUCUUCCAACAGCACCACGGGAGUCGACAGUGCUUUUUAACCGGCCCCCGACGACGACUAUUUCUUCUUUUCCUUUAAGGAAACUGAUUUUCAACAGACAAUAAUCGUCUUUUCUUUUUCGGGGGGGAUUCCAGCAGACGGAAAAGGUGAAAACUCAGCAGAUUUCUUCGUUGGAGCAAUUAACUUUGACAAAACAAGUCGGCAGACGACGGAAUUUUGUAAUUUGUGGGAAGGCGAAGAAUGUCCAACAAGUACUUCCCCAGUUCGUCACCCGACGAAAUGAACGAGAAGCCGAAAAUGUCGGCCGACCAGGAAUCCGCCCUGGAUAUGCACUUCAACCGGAACAAGACGAUGCACGCAUCCGACGUGGCCAUUCUCUCAGCCGAAACCGGAUUGUCGGAAGAACAAGUGCAGCAAUGGUUCCUGUUCAGAUUGGCGUCGUGGCGCAAGGAGCAGGGACUGGGACCUUUGGUCGGACGUUUAUACGAAUAAAUGGAGGCAAUUAAUUUUUGGACGACGCCACUAAUCAAAUAUGACCAUCAUACGCAUCGCGCAAACAAAAGUCAACCGAGAGCAGAAAUAAUACUACAACAACCCGCGGUUACCCAACACACACACACCACAGCAGUGACCUCUAUAUAUAUGCACAUACAUAUAACAUCAACUCCAAAGUCUAUAUAAACCCAAAUGAAAAUUCAAUUAUAUUACGACACCCGGAAAAUCCGGAUCGAAACUUCUUCAUCAGCUCCUUUUUAAAAAUUCCGAAACCUCAAUCGAACAUGUCUGCUGUGUGGGUGUUAUUGAAAUUUAACCAAAGAGACUGUCCCACACACAAUUAUAUACGAGAUCCCCCCCCCCUCACCUUACCAAACACGAAAAAACAAAAACUAUUCGCACAAUUUUAUUCGUUUGAAAACAAACAAAAACAAAUACACGGUUUCCAAAAUGGUGAACAUUUUUUCUGAAU